GCGCCUGUGGCUCAAUUGGAUAGAGCGGCUGGCUACGAACCAGUAGACUGGGGGUUCGAGUCCCUCCAGGCGUA
RNAcentral lists this transfer RNA (74 nucleotides) under Candidatus Kaelpia aquatica. RNAcentral describes it as "tRNA-Arg". It matches the Rfam family "tRNA". From Rfam's summary of the family: Transfer RNA (tRNA) molecules are approximately 80 nucleotides in length. Their secondary structure includes four short double-helical elements and three loops (D, anti-codon, and T loops). Lineage: Bacteria; Pseudomonadati; Candidatus Omnitrophota. The record is from RNAcentral.